CGACAACAUUUCCGUGGAAACGGGCCAAUGCACGGACGGGGUGGAAAGUUCAUGAUGUUGGAGUCAGUCUCUACUUGUUGGGCUUUCGACUGCACUGUGGGAAUCGACCUCUCUUCUUCCUGCCCACAGAACAGUUCUCCAAAAGAGAGAGGAAUUCCGAAGAGCUGAGAAGCAGGACCACAAAGUUAGUACUCUCGGGAUUACUGACUGUGCCAUGUGAUGAUAAUAACUGUAACAGAAUCAAUGAAAAACUGGCCAACCAGGAUUCUCAACCAGAGUGAAGGAGACAGCAAACUGUGCAAAUGAAAAAAGAAGAAACGAUAAUUAAAGAAGCAAUACAUUUUGAGAAUAUGAGAUGAGGUGUCAAUGAAAGCAUGCCCAGUAAAUACAAAACAACACAGAUGAAUCAAUGAAAAACUGCACACAUCAAAGACUGACAAAACACCAAUGAAGAAAGGAGAACAAAUAGAACAAAUUGUGAUGUAAGUAAUGAAGUCAAUACAUUUCGAAAUACAACAAAGAUACACUAGAGGGACCGAGAUAAGGAUGGAAACGGUAAAAUGAGCACGUUGCUACUGUACAACAAGAGAGAAACUGAAGAUGCUGCAAUCCAGGGAAACACAAGGAACUGUGCUGAGCUCUUCCAGCGUUCUGUGUCUCAUCUUGCUGGUGUAUCCCAAAUUUGUCAAAGGUCAAAAGAAAUCGAGAAUAAAUAUUUCAAUCUGCAAAGGAAUGGCCAGACUGUUGAAUUUGAAUAAUACAAAAAAAAACUGGAGAUUAGCGGAUAAAUAGGCGCAUGGUGGCUGGAAAUAAACGAGAGAAAGACAAGAGUGAGGUAAAUUGUUAGAAGUGAGAGAAAGGGUGGAGGGAGAGGGAGAUGGAGAGGGAGACAGAGAAAGAGAGACAGAGUGAGUGUGAGAGAGAGAGAGAAAGAGAGAAGACAAUAGGCAAAUUGACGGAUAGGUGAAGUAGGCAAAAAGACAGCAAAAAGCAAAUGCGCACAUUGCAGGAUUGCGGUAUUCCUCCUGUAUCUCUGAGCUCUGGUAGUCUGUGAGAGUGUGGGGUCAUUUUGUACCUGUCAGUCCUUGAGACAGUGUGAUACUGCACAGGACCGAAAUAAGUGCAGGAGGUUGUAAAUCUCUUCAGCUCUAUCUUGGGUACUAGCCUACAAGUUAUCCAGGACUUAUUUAGGGAGCGGUGAGUCAGAGAAGCAACUUCCAUUAUUAAGGACCCCUAGCACCCAGGGCAUGCAACUUUCUCACUGUUACCAUCAGGUAGGUGGUACAGAAGCUCGAAGUCACACCUUCAGUCAUUGAGGAACAGCU
Long non-coding RNA from Hypanus sabinus (Atlantic stingray), 1325 nucleotides. RefSeq lists it as uncharacterized. The record is from RefSeq and is a predicted model, not a curated record. NCBI's taxonomy places the organism in Eukaryota, Metazoa, Chordata, Chondrichthyes, Myliobatiformes, Dasyatidae. The transcript is spliced from 5 exons.